GUGCCAGCCGCCGCGGUAAUACGAAGGUUGCAAGCGUUGUUCGGAAUCACUGGGCUUAAAGCGCAUGUAGGCGGCUCAUCAAGUGUCUUGUGAAAUCCCCCGGCUCAACCGGGGAAUUGCUCGACAUACUGUUAGAGCUUGAGGCAGGUAGGGGUGUGUGGAACUCUUGGUGGAGCGGUGGAAUGCGUAGAUAUCAAGAGGAACGCCGGCGGCGAAAGCGACGCACUGGGCCUGUCCUGACGCUGAGAUGCGAAAGCCAGGGGAGCAAACGGGAUUAGAUACCCCUGUAGUCC
RNAcentral lists this ribosomal RNA (293 nucleotides) under uncultured bacterium. RNAcentral describes it as "partial 16S ribosomal RNA". It matches the Rfam family "Bacterial small subunit ribosomal RNA", at positions 505 to 796 of the family's 1533-position model. The record is from RNAcentral.